GACGAACGCUGGCGGCGUGCUUAACACAUGCGAGUCGAACGGAAAGGCCCCUUUGGGGGUACUCGAGUGGCGCACGGGUGAGUAACACGUGAGUAACCUGCCCUUGACUUCGGGAUAACUUCAGGAAACUGGGGCUAAUACCGGAUAGGAAUCCUUGCUGCAUGGUGGGGGUUGGAAAGCUUCGGCGGUUUUGGAUGGACUCGCGGCUUAUCAGCUUGUUGGUGGGGUAGUGGCUUACCAAGGCUUUGACGGGUAGCCGGCCUGAGAGGGCGACCGGCCACAUUGGGACUGAGAUACGGCCCAGACUCCGACGGGAGGCAGCAGUGGGGAAGAUUGCACAAUGGGCGGAAGCCGGAUGCAGCAACGCCGCGUGCGGGAUGACGGCCUUCGGGUUGUAAACCGCUUUCAGCAGGGGCGAAGCUUGUGGUGACGGUACCUGCAGAAGAAGCACCGGCUAACUACGUG
Molecule: ribosomal RNA, 465 nt
Filed under: uncultured bacterium
Lineage: Bacteria
Description: partial 16S ribosomal RNA
Rfam family: Bacterial small subunit ribosomal RNA
Source: RNAcentral